This is a non-coding RNA of Camellia sinensis, 4971 nucleotides long. The record is from RefSeq and is a predicted model, not a curated record. NCBI's taxonomy places the organism in Eukaryota, Viridiplantae, Streptophyta, Magnoliopsida, Ericales, Theaceae.
UUUUUAACAAGUAGAAGCCAUAAGUUGGCUCAAAAAAGUGCCACCAAACACUCCAAUUCUGUCACUCAACUCCGACUAAGAGCACCAUCUGACUUUGGGGACCUUGAUUCUAGCUUCCAUUUCUGCGACUCUGAUCUAUUCUUUCCUUUGAUCUUGCCUAUUUCGGUUGUUUUUUGCAUAGAUUUGGGCUUGGGAUUUGUUAGAUCAUUACUCACUUUAGGAAAAUUGAAACUGCCCAUAUCCAAAACCUUCAUUAGAUUACCAGAAUCCCUGUUUCUGUGUCUUGCCGAGAUCCCUCUAUCAUUAGGAAAACACUCCCAUACUGAAAACCAUAAAAAAAACCCUUUAGCCGAGAUCAUGAGCAUGUUUAAGUGGAGAGUAGAUUCCCCUAGCAAACUCGAAUAUUUUAGCUAAGAAUUCAACAUCCCAGCCGACGUCUGUAUUAGGCUUACCGGAGAGAAUGACACUAUGAUGCCUGAGGAGAAUUACAUGCCUUUCCCCGUGGUGUCCAUUAUUGAGGGUGGAAUCUGAUUCCCCCUUGACAUUCUUUUCAGAGAAGUGUUGCACUUCUAUAAACUUAACCCUAUGCAAUUAGCCAUUAACACUUUUAGGGUUAUCAAUGGUAUAGCCGAGCUAUGCCGCCAUAACGCUAGAAUCACCUUUGCCAACAUCUAGUAUUGCUAUACCAUGUGUAGCCUCAAAUCUACCAGUGGCUACACUUAUUACCUCAAACCCCGAUCUACUGCCUACAAACUGAUAGCCGACCUUCCAAACUCCAACAAGGGCGCUGGAGAAGACUAUCUCAUUGUCUUGGGCAAUUAGGAGUCUGCACCAGAUGAUGAUAUCCACCUCUUCCCUUUGCACUGAGGAGCUUUUUGGGAAGAUGAGGAUAAAAAGUUAAUCCCCUCAAACCAUGCAUUUUUAACAUUGCAUUGCAUACUUAAUUAUUUUCUGACAUUUUUCUUCUUUACCCUGUUUUGCAGUGGUUCUCUAGCCAAGCAAAUUGUUUUGGAAGUCUAAUGUCUUGAGCCCCGACUUGAGAUGGCUUCUGGACUUACCUGUCCAAGACUACACCGAUCAAUAAUGGAGUAGAGCUUCUUCGAUUUGAUCUAUUUUCUACACUGCCCACGCCUCGCUGAGACAUUCCUCGACGUUUUGCUUUCUUCAAUCCCGAUUUGGCUCGCUGUCAUGAUCGGCCUUGUUAUUGGCUGGUCCUGGCGCCCUAGGUGGACCGGUCUGCUCUAUCUCGGUCACCGCUCCAAGCUCCGGUUCACCUGGACCGCGCCACCGGGGUUCGGGGCUUGGAGGUUCUGGCUCGCCUUCACGGCAUUUUCGGUUGGUUGGAGACUUUGGUCCAGGUUCAUUUGGAAAGGAAAUGACGGUUCUCUGGCGGCAGCGGCGGCACAGCUGGUCAAAAGUGGCGGUGACGUCAGUAUGCAGGGAACAGUGUGGUCUAUGGUGUGUGGCUGUUAUACGUGGUUAUGUCGUUGAAAUAGUUGGAAUUUUUGGAUAAUGUGCGUCGAUUUGUGGCAUUCGUAAUUAAGGAUGAAUCUGUACUAAUAUGGUUCUCGGGGAAAGAGGAGAAACACCUCAAACUAAGUCACAUGUCUAAAAUCAUUUCAAGGCAGCGCACUGUAAGUUUCUUGCUGUGAUGGCAAUAUCAUGUUUGGUGUUGCGGACACUUCAUCUAGUAAUCAAAGUUCAAGUGCUCGGCUUCCAGAAAGGAAUAAUAUGUAUCCUGAGCAGUUAACUCAUCUCAGUUGUGAACUACAACUCUUUAUGAGUUCAAGGAGAGCAUGCAGUCUGUAAUGUUUUUGUAGUGGAAGUAGAUAGAACCAUAGACAGACCUAAGUAGGUGACAUUCUAUUUGAAUAGACAAAAUUAGAGCUGGAAGGCUCUGAUCGUGCCUACUUUCUUGAAGGAGAAAAGCAAUCUCUUCACCAAGACUAAGGUACGAGGAUCUAGGCAUUGCUUUACAUUAUGGUGGAAUGUUGAGGUAGUGUAUACAUCAUCAAAGUGUAGCAAGGUAAGCAGUUUGAAAGCAUACAUUGGUAAUUGAUUUUUUUUUUCUUCUUUUUUUUCCUUUUCCCCUAUUUUUCCUUUUCUUUUUUUUCUUCUCCCCUUGUCCUUAUAAUCAAUCUUUUACUUAAACUAUUUUGUUCUAUCUUUUUGACAUAUCAUUGUUAAUUUGGUUGUACUGACGACUCUCUUUUAGGAGAACACCAAUUUUACCUAUUCUGCUGUAUUGUUGUUCUUGAGUUAGGUCUCACAGAUUCAUUCAAUAAGAAUUUACGGAUGAAAUGGAAAGGAGGCAUUUCUAGUCAAUUUCUGAAUUUCUUGUUCCUGAUGCUUUAAUUCUAUAUCUUGUUUCUCUUUUAAUCUUUAUAUGGUAAUUUUUUUGGUCUGUUUGGUUUUGUUCUCAGGGGUAUGUUUUAAAAUCAAAAAAUAUGAAGAAGUUUUUUGACUAUAUACAACUUCCAAAUUUCGACGUUGUUGCCGAUGCUACAGAAACCUUUAAGGUAGUGUUUUUUGCUAGUAAACAUUUACUACCUACUUAAUAAAUAAGUGUGCCUACAAUAUUAACUACACAACAAAAGGGCCAUUCUUUAGAUUUACAGGAGUGUAAUACUUAGUAGGCACAAAAUAUAGAAUAUUAUCAAACUAUGAAUGUCUUCAAAAGCCAUGUAUCUGUGUGUUUGUUUAUAUGUGCAUCACUAAGCAGUGGUGGAAUGGAGAAGGCUAUAGGUUGCUAUCAUGCUUCAUUCAGGUAUGCUUUAUAGGUAUUUUAUGAAUAAUAAUGCAAUACAAUUGUCAUUGUGUGCUACUGAUUUGUUGACUGAAACUUCCGUUAGUUUUUAGUAGGUGAAUGAUUGUUAUUGUUCACAUUGGUCAACAUGUAAUACACUAGUCAAUCAGUAGGCAUGUAAGUUGCAAUUGUUGUAAUCCGUGUGCUUUUCUUUUUUUCUUCCUUUUUUUGCCUUUUUUCUUUUUCCAUUUUUUCGGUGGUGGUAUUGCCAUAUUGUUGUUAUUGUCGUGAGUGUUGGUGUCUGUAUGCACAUAUCAUGUUGUUCUUUGGUUGAAACAUGCCUACAAACUCUUUAAUGGUGUGUAUGUCUAAUUUUUUUGAAGAAAGUGAUAUGUGGUUAGGACUAAAAAACACUUUUAAGUGAAUGGAAAUGAAAAUGCAUAUUAAUUCUUGGGUUUUUACAUAGACUAGGAUUAUUUUAGACUUUUGUUAAAUAUAGUAAACAACAAAUUGUCUUUUAUUGUUCAUCUAAUGACUUGUGUGUGUGUUUUUUUUAUUUUUAUUUUAAUCAAAGGAAUUUAAUCCAAUAUUUGUUUAAGGAAGCGGUUGGGCUGAACCUACUUACUUUUCCAUAUGGGGGCAUGAAGUGUUGGUUUUAGUCAAAACUUGUAUUCUUUCCUGGGAUCCUUCACUUGAAAGGUGGCACUUCAUAAUGCUCUGAUGGUUGCCCAUCGCCUGAAAAGCUAUCAUUGUAAUUAGCACAUAUUGUUUGAUGAAACUUGUAUCCUUCCUGAGAUCCUUCAUGUACAAUAGGCUUGUGUGUUCAUUUAUCUGUCUUGGGGCUGCUAUCCAUUUGGUUUUGAAGGCAUGCCUAGAAGAGCUUUAGAUGCAUAGAUUAUUGUUAUUCUUUUUCUAUCUAGCUUUAUUUGACCACAACUUUUUGAAAAUUUUAAAAUUUAAUAAAAAUUUAAUUUAUUUGAGAUUUCUAGACAAAAUGAUGGAAAAGAAGAUAGAGAGAAAAAAAUAACUAUUGCCAAAAAAUAGUUUUAAUGUUAAGUUAAUAAAAUUGAUUUAACUCAUUUUAUUCAAACUAUGAGAUAACUAUCGUCUAUCCUUUAUCACACAAGUUGAAACAAAUAGAUGGAGAAAGAGUAUUUCCUAGAAUUAAACAAAUUUAUAUAGACUUUAGACUCAUGUAUAUAUCAACCUUCACAGGGAAAUCUGAUGAUUGGAUAACAAGUUUAUUAUGCUUUUUGCUUUUUGGGAUUUGAAAAUUUCCCCGAACACGCAGGUUGAGGAACGUACUAUUCCAGUAGAGGAAUUGCGUGAUGGUUAUGAAGUUUUCUGCACAAGAACUGCUGUUGGUAUUGUUCCCGUUUUUAUCAUUCUGACAAAUUCAACUACAAAAGAAAUAGCUUAAUCUUAUAACUAAAGAUGGUGUGGUUCCUUCUUACUGUUAUUUUAUGCGAGAUGCAGGGCAUGAAGAUGCUAAUGCUUUGAUGAAAACAAAUUCAAGUACAAAAGAAAUAGCUUAAUGUUUGUAUUACUUCUAUAAUAUGUAUAUCUUCUUAGUCAUCAGAUGCUGGCUAACGACAUUGAUGAUUUCUGUAUACUGGCUGAAGUUUGAGUAUAGUGUUCUUUAUGAUUCUUGAUCUACUCAUUAAUUUUUUUUUACGGGUUUUCAAGUUUACAUUUCUUAUUCCGAUCACUAGGCAACAAAACUGAUCCUCUAAUUUGCUGAUUUUGCACUUUAUUAGGGUGCUGAUCUUAUGGUGUGGGUUGCAAAAAGGUCGAUGGUUGAUGAGCUGGAAGCAAUGCUCGAUGUGGUAGACCCUCAGCCUCCUCGCAGAUCUCUUUCCAUGCGAAGGAGGACAUUUGAUAUGGCCGAUGAUCUCAUCCAGAAGGAACUUGCAGCCGUUGUCGCUGAGGUCGUUCAAAUGCUUGAUCAAUAAAAUGGUACCUUUGACCCAUCCUUGUUAAGUCCAUAGAAAUAUGGUAAAAUCACCUCAUUUUGAGGUCACAAUGUUCUCUCAACUAGGUGUAGGAAGGUGCACUUCUACAUAUCUUUACCCUCUCAUUCAGCCCUAAUUGAGAAAUUUCUAAGACUCGUUAUCUAGUUGGUCGCGAAGAGUUUUAUUGUAUUGCUUUUACAGUUGAACUUACUGACCCAUUGAGGGUUGUUUGUGGUGCUUAAUUUUGUGUGUGAGGUUUAAUUUUGUGGUGUA